UGGGGAAUAUUGCACAAUGGGCGCAAGCCUGAUGCAGCCAUGCCGCGUGUAUGAAGAAGGCCUUCGGGUUGUAAAGUACUUUCAGUCGGGAGGAAGGUGGUAAGGUUAAUAACCUUAUCAAUUGACGUUACCGACAGAAGAAGCACCGGCUAACUCCGUGCCAGCAGCCGCGGUAAUACGGAGGGUGCAAGCGUUAAUCGGAAUUACUGGGCGUAAAGCGCACGCAGGCGGUUGAUUGAGUCAGAUGUGAAAUCCCCGGGCUUAACCCGGGAAUUGCAUCUGAUACUGGUCAGCUAGAGUCUUGUAGAGGGAGGUAGAAUUCCAUGUGUAGCGAUGAAAUGCGUAGAGAUGUGGAGGAAUACCGGUGGCGAAGGCGGCCCCCUGGACAAAGACUGACGCUCAGGUGCGAAAGCGUGGGGAGCAAACAGG
This 429-nucleotide ribosomal RNA is filed under the name Chloroflexota bacterium. RNAcentral describes it as "Chloroflexi bacterium partial 16S ribosomal RNA". It matches the Rfam family "Bacterial small subunit ribosomal RNA", at positions 355 to 776 of the family's 1533-position model. The record is from RNAcentral. Lineage: Bacteria; Bacillati; Chloroflexota.